Molecule: long non-coding RNA, 8824 nt
Filed under: Cricetulus griseus (Chinese hamster)
Lineage: Eukaryota; Metazoa; Chordata; Mammalia; Rodentia; Cricetidae
Description: lncRNA (ENSCGRG00015029824.1)
Source: RNAcentral
CCGCCAUUUUGGGCUGGGAGGAGGCAGCGGAGGGACUCGCUGCGCAGUGAGAGCACCCCAUGGGGGGUGGUCCGGGCGCGGGGAGAGGCCGGGCCGAGUGGGCUGCCUGAAGUGGCGGCGCCGGGAGACGGCGGGGAGUUGGGUUGGGGGCCGCGGAGGGUGAAGGUUGGUGUCUCCCCGGCCGAGCCCAGUCCUCAAACCGUCCCGGCGGCCCCGCAGUCUCGCCUUUGAGAGCGGGGUUUUGGGUGAUUACCGCGUAUUUCCCGUGACCCCGACAGAGGAGAGGCCAAUAGGACGGCUUCCCCUUUGCUGAGCUUCCACCGGGACGCGGAUCCUGAGGCCAAGCUCUGCCAAGGCCUCUCCCCACCCCCAUUCGUCUGGGUAUGGCGGCGAGGCCCGGCGUGGCUGGCCCCCAUCGGAAGGACGAGGUGGGCGCGACGCCAGUUGGAGGCGCUGGCUCGCGGGUUCGGGCCGAGGUUGCAGCCGUAGCCUCAUGCCUCCCUCGGUGCUAGUCAGCUGGAGGCUCGGAGGGCGCCCAGCCGCAGUGCACCCACCUCUCCCCCCCCCCCCCAUGCACCAAGUCCAUCGUCCCACCUCUCGGGGCUGCGAAAAGCAACAGCCCUCUAACUACUAUAGCAACCACCAACUCCCCUGGGACCGACUAGAUGGGGCACGUGGAAAGCUCGAGCUCAGGGCUUGGAAAUCUCUGAGCUCUCUUGCCCUCAAGAUUGCUCCCAUCGAGCCCCGACUCCCCCAAUGGCCUGGCCUCGAACGUCACCAGCCACUUUUGGAAACUCCUAAAGUGUGCUGCCCCACUUGGAAAUUUUACGACAAAGGGAUGGGGUUCUGCCCUUUGCAGGUUCGGAACAGAAAAUAAUUCAGAGUCACCAUGGUACAGUAAUAGAAAUGGAGCGGCCCAUUUCGGAUACUUCAAAAACAUCUGUUUGCGUUUUGAAAUCCGAGCCGUAAACUUAGGGACGAAAUGGCUGUGCUACAAGGGGAAAGGAGAGCUAAUUCCAGUGUGAUCUCUGUAAGCCUACACAAUGUCCCGUUUAAAGUCCUGUUCCACAAACUAAAAAGAGUAUUUUCUGUGCCAGUGUCCCAUCGUUACUAGAGCCAUUUCUUCUUUAGAACGUGGAAGGUACUUAAGUAGAAAUGGCAGUUUUGAUCUAGUUCCUGUAUGUGGGUUAUAGGGGAGACGUUCAUUGAAAGAAUAAACUUGCAACUUAAAAUUAUAGCAGUUAAAGCAUUUAAAAGGCUGGUGUUUGACGUGAUAUUCUUUUACUGAAUUGCAGAUUAAACAUCUUGUUCCCUAGAGACUUCCAGGCUACACCUUCAAAUGAUACCUUUGUAGCUCAGCUGUCAGUUAAAAUGGUGUCCAGAUAGGCUCUGGAGUAGGUCGUUAACUAGCCAUAGGUAUCUGUGGGUACCUUGUAAUGAAUUUUACUGCUAGUUAUAGAUGGUCUAAUUCCUAGGCCUUUGCUUUAACUGUAGGACCCAUGAAAGUUUCUUCAGCGUUGACGGACUGCUCCUUGUAUUAAUAAAAGUCCUUCUAGCUGGAUGUGGUGGGUCUCUUAAGAAUUCGAGGCCAGCCUGGUCUACAUAGAGAGUUCCGGGCCAGCCAAAGCUACAUAGUGAGACUCAUUUCAAAAUAAAAUAAUUUUAAGUUAUGUGAUGACUUCGUAGUUGUAAUUUCUGCCAGCAUCCCUCGGAUGCUUUGAAAAAAAAAUCUUAAAACCCUACAAACAAAUACAAGCCCACCUGAUCACCAUUGACUAGGAUUCUUUUGGUUUUUUGAGAUGUCUUAACUCUAGCCCAGGCUGGACUCAAAUUCAGGAUAAUCCUUCUGUCUCAACCUAGAAUUGCAGCAGGUGUGAGCUACUAUACCAGCUUGAUUUUCUGCUUGUACUUUUGAAUCGGUUUCAGAUAGCCUAGACUGACCCUGAACUCCUUGUAGUAUAGUUUAGGCUGGCCUUGAACUUCCUUCCUCCACUUCCCAAGUUCUUGGAUUAUAGGCAUGUAGUGCCACACCCAAUAUUAUUUACUUGCUUUGUUUGUGUGCGUACAUUGCACAAGUGGAGGUCAGAAUCUGUGAAAGUCUGUUCCUCCAUCACCUGGCUUCCCAGGGAGGGAAUUCCUGUUGUGAGGUUUGGCAGCAAGUGCCUUUACACAAUGAGCCAUCUUUCUGGUCUCCUAAUGGGUGUUUAGGUUUUUGUUGUUAUUGUUGUUUGCUUGCCAUUUUGAAACAGGGUCUCUGUUUAGCCCAAGUUGGCCAGGAGCUAUCUGCUUGAGCCCCUCAAGUGUUCUCAGGUGUAUAGCACUGCAUUUAUUCGUGACUAAGAUUGAUUAAUUAAAGACAGGGUCUCCUGUAGCUCUUUUUGGCCUUGAGCUCAGUAGCCAACCAUGACCUUUGAACUCCUGGUGGUCCUGCCUGUGCUGAGUGCUGAAAUUAGAGGAGUGCACCAUCCUGUACCAUUUAGAUGGCACUGGAUUGACCCCAGAGCUUUGUGCACUCUAGGCAUACUCUCAACUGAGCUUUAUCCCCAGCCCCAUUAGAGCCCUUAAUUCAAAAUGUGAACUGCAUCUUUGUUUUUUGUUUUUUUUUUUUUUGAGACAUGGCCUUGCUCUGUAGUCCAGGAUGACCUAGAACUCACAUCAUAGACUUCAGUAGCCUUAAAUUCAUAGCAGCCCACUUGCCUUAGGUAAGGCUACAGGUGUCAGCCCAGUAGUUAAACACCUGGUUUAAGUACUUCUAACUGAAGCAUCAGUGCACUGUUCAUCCCAAAGUUUCCUUUGUCAUGUUCACUUUACCCUGAUCAAGAAAAGAUGAAGAGCCUUGUAUUGUAGGCUCAUGCUAAUCCUAGCACUUGAGAGGCAGAGGCAGGAGGAUUACCACAAAUUGGGAGACUAACCUCGGCUACACAUUAAGACUAUCUCAAAAAAAAAAAAAGGAAACCUUUAAUCUCAGUACUUGGGAGUCAGAGGCAGGCAGAUCUCUGAAUUCGAGGCCAGCCUAGUAUACAGAACGACUUCCAGGAUAGCUAGGGCUGUUACACAGAGUAACCCUGUCUUGAAAAGCCAAAAAAGAAAAAAAUGGGGCUUUAAUUCAGUGGGAGAGAACUUGUUUAGCAUGCACAGGAAUGGAGAGUGGGAGUAGGAAUGAGUUAGGAAAUGAUAACAUUUAAUUGGUAGGAGUCAGGUUAAAUAGUCAUAGGAGCUGAGGGGGGGCUUCGGAUUAUCUCUGUGGUUCUUUUGUCAAGAAGGAGGACCCUAGACUCCUGUGAUCCAUCCUCUGUUGUGAAGGCAUCUAGCUAAACCUUUGGCAGUGCUAUACCAGGUGCAGAAACUUAUUACUCAGUUAUAGAUGAAGGCUUAACUGUGCUUAAGGAUGACACAUGAGCUUUUUCCCUUCCUUGAUUUUAAAUAGUUGGGAAUAGCUGGGUGUGGUGGCGCCUGCCUGUAACCCUUAUACUCAGUAGGUGGAUUCUCAUCUUGUUGGACACCAAGCUCAACUACAGUGAGACCCUAUGUUAAAAACAAUGGGAGGUAGAGACAACUCAGACCUGAGUUCAGGCCCCAGAACCCAAGUUUUAAAAAAAAAGAUGCUAGGGGUCUGGAGCAAUGCUCAGUAAUUAAAAGCACUACUGCUCUUGUAAUGGACCAUCGUUCCAGGUCAGGGCCCUUUUCUGACCUCUGUGGGUACCAGGCAUGCAUGUGGUACACAUAAAUUCAUGAAAACAAACACUCAUAGGCAAAAGUGCAAGAUGCCAGGUGUGAUGGCCUAUUUCUUUAAUCCCAGCACUUGGGAGGAAGAGGCAGGCUGAUUUUGAGUUCUAGGUUAUCCUGGUCUACAAAGCAAGUUCUGAAACAGCCAUGGCUACACAGAGAAAGCCUAUUGGCUGGAGUGUUAGGGAGGCAGAGAGGCAGGCUCUCUGGGGUUUCCUGGAGGAGGUGAAACUGAGUGUACUUGCUAGUUAGAGGCCAAUAAAAGCCCUUGUCUCAAGUAAGUGUCUGUGGGAGAUGGCACCAAAGGUAGCCCUCUGGCCACCAUAUGUGUGUGUAUUCACAUUCACACACGUGUACCUGCAUACCCUCCCUGGCUUCUGUACCUGUGUAGACAGCCUUUCUACUUCAGAAAUAACUUCUUCAGAAGCUCUGAGGGGAUCUGGGAAUGUAGCUCUGUGGGUAGAGUGCUUGCCUAGCACACAUGAGCCUCUGUCCAUCCCUUCCCCACCAAAAACUUUAGUGCAUAUAUAAGACCUGCCUUACUGGAGUAUGGCUGCUGCACACAAAAGGGAAGCCAUCUAAGGAGACUGAGUAGGGUCAGUAUCUCAUGGCACCAAAGCAGCUGUUAUUAUAAAGUAGUUGAUAUUUUGUAUUUACCUGAUGGGCCAACUCCUGGAGGCCAGUCAGUCACUCUGUAAGUAAGAUUCAUGGGCAGAAGUGGAAAUGUGUCUCCAAAUUACUCCUUGUUACUUAGAUACUUCUGAAGAAGAUACUUGCUUCUGUGUGUGGCUCCCAUGUUCCACCCUUCUGUCCAUCAUUUUCUCCACCCCCCCCCCUUUUUUUUGAGACAGGGUGCCUUUGCAUAGCCCUAGUUGUCUUGGGAUUCAGUGUGUAGACCAGGCUGGCCAUGAACUUAAUAUGUAGCCAAGGCUGGACUUGAAUUCUCAGUUCUUGCCUUAGCUUCCUGAGUGCUGGAGUUAUAUGGGUACCACCAUGUAUUUUAUUUGUUUCUCUUUUCAGAUUGUUUGAAUGUUAUUAGGCUAAAUGUACAUUUAUUAAGAACUAAAAGGAAGACAUUCCUUCUAGUCCUAAAUUUGAUAUUUUGCUUUUGCCUGAAAGUUGACAUUGGCAUUAUCCAAAUAUGCAAAAUGACAUGUUUAAAGUAGCCUCCAGGGACUGAAGAGGUGGCCUAAGAGUGAAGAGCACAAAGUGCUCUUCUAGGGGGCCCAAGUUCAAUUCCUAGCACUCAUAUCAGGUAACUUACAACUGCUUGUCAUUCCACUUCCAGGGACUCCAACACCUCUGAUCUCUAAGAGCCUUAUGUUCACACACACACACACACACACACACACACACACACACACACAGACAGAGAGAGAGAGAGAGAGACAGGUAGAUCUCUGAGUUCCAGGCCCCAAAGCUACAGAGAAACCCUGUCUUGAAAAAGCAAAAUAAGGGCUGGAGAGAUGGCUUAGUAGUUAAGAGCAUUGACUGCUCUUCCAGAGGUCCUGAGUUCAAUUCCCAGCAACCACAUGGUGGCUCACAACCAUCCGUUAUAAGAUCUGGUGCCCUCUUCUGGUGUGCAGAUAUACAUGGAAGCAGAAUGUUGUAUACAUAAUAAAUAAAUAAAAUCUUUUAAAAAAAAGAAAAAGCAAAAUAAAUACAUAAAUAAAAUCUUAAAGUAAGCUUCAGAACUCCAAUAAUUUGCUCUCAUAGUCUACUGGAGGCUAGAGAAACUUAUAUUAAUUAGAUUACUGGGGAGAUGUUGAUAAUUUCCCUCAUAGUUUUAUAUAUGAGGUACCCCCAAAUUCUUGUUACUUGCUUCAUUGUAAAAGAGUUGUUUGUUUGGUUGGUUUUGCCUUUUAUUUUGUUUUUUUCAAGACAGGGUUUUACUAUGUAGCUAUAGCUAUCCUGGAAUUCACUUUGUAAACCAGACUGGCUUCAAACUCACAGAAAUCCACCUGCCUCUGCCUCCCUAGUGCCAUGUGCUAUCUACCAUGCCUGGCCUGGUUUUGGUUUUAAGACGAUCUCACAAUGUAUCCCUGUCUGGCAUGGAUAUCACAGAGAUUUGCCUGCCUCUUCCAAGUGGGCUGGGAUUCAGGAAUGUAGUUUUUGUUCGCUGCAGAUCAGUAGCAGUUUAUAUGUGCUGGAGAGAUGACAUAGUGGUUAAGAGCACUUUCUGCUCUUGCAGAGGACCCAGGUUCAGUUCCUAGAACCCAUCUGUGUGUGUGACUCAUACCAUAGCUCAUAAGUGUGUGUGACUCCAGUACCAGAUGAUCCAACACACUUGGAUCUUGGCCUCCUCAGGCACCAGGCAUACACAUGGUGCACACGUAAAUGCAGGUAAAACACUCACACAAAUUAAAUUCUCAAAAAAUGCAGUGAUGGGCUUGGUAGAGCAUACCUUUAGUCCCAGCACUCAAGAAUCAGAGGCAAGCAUUUCUAAUAAUUCAAGGCCAGCUUGAUCUACAUACUGAGUUCCAAGCUAGUCAAAGCUACAUAGUGAGACUGUCUCAAAACAAAAAAGGGAUAGAGGCUAGGUAUAGUGUCAAACAGCUGUAAUUCCAGCAUUGGGGAAACUUGAGGCAAAAUGAUCAGAGGAAUUCAAGGUCAGCUGUGGCUACAUAGUGAGAUUGAGGCCAGCUUGGGUUACAUGACAUCCUGUUAUAGCAGAACUAAAUAUAAAUACAUGCGUACACACACACACACACACACACACACACACACACACACACACACACACACACGGCUUCAGGUGAAACCUUAAAAUUCCCUUCUGAAUUUUUACUUGUGUAAAACUCUGUUUUUGUUAUUUUGAAACAGGGUCUCUCUGUAUAGCCCUGGCUGUCCUGGUCUUUGCUAGUAGAUGAGGCUGGUUUGGAAUUCAUAGCUGUCCACCUGCCUGCUGGAAUUAAUAGUAUGCACCAUCUUGUUCUUGUUCAGUGCAGUGAGGACUCUUUUUUUUUUUUUUUUUUUUUUUAAACCUCUGAGCCAUCUCUGCAGCCCAAUUGAUAGUACUUUUAGGAAUCAAAUCACACUGGAUUGUUGAAGACUUAUUCUCAGGUUCCUGUAGUAGCUCAGCCUUUUGAGUUUCUUUGACAUGUAAAGGUUUGUUACAGAACUGGAGUUACUUUCCAUGUUGUUAGAUAAUUUUUUAUAAUUGAAUCUCCUCUUUAGAAGUAAAACUCAAGAAAAAGUUUACUUAAGUAGUUUUGUUUUUCUGAGACAAGAGUCUAGUGUAGACCAGGCUGACUUCAAAUUCAGGAGGUAAUUGAGAAUGACCUUGAAUUCCAGAACUGCCUCCACCUACAAUUCCAAGCAUUGAAAUUAAAGGCAUAUACCAUGUCCUGUUUGCAGGUUGCUGGGGAGAUACUAGGAAUUGAACCCAAGGACUCCUGCAUGUUCUACAUACUCAACUAAACUCCCAGUUCUUGAGAGAUUUAUAAGAGUGGUAUAAAACAGUCUAUGUUUCUUCAGUAUGAACCCAAAAGUGCUGGGUGUAGUGGCACACACCUUUACUCCCAGCACUUGGGAAGCAGAGGCAGGUGGAUUUCCAGCCCAGCCUGCUGGUGUACGAAGUUUCAGAACAGCCAGGGCUACGUAGUAAGAUCCUGUCUCAAAAAAAAAAAAAAAAAAAAAUAGAAGAAGAAAACCAAGAAUCCAAAUGGUAACACAUCUUUAAUCACAGCACUCAGGAGGUAGAGGCCAGCCAGGGCCACAUGGAGAAACCCUGUCACAAAACACAAAAAAGCUUUUCUGAGCCAAGUGUGAUGUAUGCCAGGCUUCUAGGGAGGCUGAAGUAGGAGAUGGCUGGAACCUAGGAAUUGAGACCAGCCUGAACAACAUAAUGAGACUUGGUCACAAUAACAUAAAUCAGUAAAGAGCUGUGUGUGGUGGUGAAUAUAAUCCCAGCACUCUGCAUAGUUUGGUCUACAUAGUUCGUUGUUCAGGCCAGCAAGGGCUACAUACCAAGACCCUUUCUCAAAAACAAACAAGAAAAUUAGGAUUGAAUUUGUGAGUGUGGUGAUACAAACCUCUUAUUACAGCGUUCAGGAGUCUAAGGCAGGGGAGUUGCAAGUUUGGGCUAUAUAGCAAGACUCAAAAAUAAAUGUAAAUAUUAGGAUCCAGUGAGAUAGCUUAGUGGCUUUCACUUGGCUGCCACCAAGCCUGAUGACCUAAAUUGGAUCUUCAGGACUUACAUGGUGGAAGGAAACGAUCUGCAAGUUGUCUUCUGACUUUCACUUGAAGGGUGUGGCGUGUCCACGAACAUACAAAUAUAAAGCCUGGAGAGGUGGUUGAGUGCCUACUGGAACUUGCUGUUCUUGCUGAGGAUCUGGGUUUAGUUCCAGCACCCACAUGGCAGCUACAACCACCUCUAUGUAAUCAGGGGGAUCUGAUGCUCUCUUCUGGCCUUUGGACACCAGGCAAGUGUGCAGUGCACUUAAAUACAUGCAGGCACACAUACACAUAAAAAUAAAUCUUUUAAAAAUAAAAAUAUUACAUUACUUUUUAUUUCUUACACACCAGCUAUUUAUAUUUUGUGUGAGAGUAACGUAGAAUUUUUAUUGCAAUCAUGGUGUGCUAAUGUGCAAAGUUAACUCCUUUGGAAAAACAGCCAAUGUCAAGUAUGCUGGCUCAUGCCUGUAAUCUCAGCAUUCAGAAGGCUGAGGCAGGAUUGUCCUGGGUUUGAGACUAGCCUGGGCUUCAUAGCAUCAGACCAGCCUCGGGGUAGAGUGAGACCAAGUCUCACAAUAGUCAUAAAAGCCCGAAAAUUCAAGUGUGCUUCAGGACCUCUGUAUAAGCACUUUCUCAAUAGCCAGUUUUUGGCCAAGUGUGAUGUAUGCCAGGCUUCUAGGGAGGCAUUGUGAAUAUUAGUUGUCAAAUCUUAGGCAUGUAAGUAGGUUAGGCAUAUGUAGAUGUUUAGAAUUACCUAAAGUUCUGUUUUGGUUUUUGUUUGAUUUUUGAGACAGGGUUUCUCUGUGGCUUUGGAGGCUGUCCUGGAACUUGCAUUAUAGACCAGGCUGGUCUUGAACUCACAGACAGCUUGCUCCCUCUGCCUCUGGAGUACAGAGUGCUGGGAUUAAUGUUUGGUUUCAUA